This 460-nucleotide ribosomal RNA is filed under the name uncultured bacterium. RNAcentral describes it as "SSU rRNA". It matches the Rfam family "Bacterial small subunit ribosomal RNA", at positions 26 to 518 of the family's 1533-position model. The record is from RNAcentral.
AGAAUCAACGCUGGCGGCGUGCCUAACACAUGCAAGUCGAACGAGAAAGUGGAGCAAUCCAUGAGUAAAGUGGCGACCGGGUGAGUAACACGUGACUAACCUACCUUCGAGUGGGGAAUAACCUCGGGAAACCGGGGCUAAUACCGCAUAAUGUCUUCGGACCAAAGGAGCAAUUCGCUUGAAGAGGGGGUCGCGGCCGAUUAGCUAGUUGGUGGGGUAACGGCCCACCAAGGCAAUGAUCGGUAGCCGGCCUGAGAGGGCGCACGGCCACACUGGAACUGAAACACGGUCCAGACUCCUACGGGAGGCAGCAGUGGGGAAUUUUGCGCAAUGGGGGAAACCCUGACGCAGCAACGCCGCGUGGAGGAUGAAGCCCCUUGGGGUGUAAACUCCUUUCGAUCGGGACGAUUAUGACGGUACCGGAUGAAGAAGCACCGGCUAACUCUGUGCCAGCAGCCGC